This is a non-coding RNA of Potamilus streckersoni, 71 nucleotides long. The record is from the annotation of a GenBank genome assembly. NCBI's taxonomy places the organism in Eukaryota, Metazoa, Mollusca, Bivalvia, Unionida, Unionidae.
GCUCAGGUAGCCUAGUGUUUAGAGCAUCCGCCUCGGAUGCGGGAGGUCGAAGGUUCAAUCCCCGGUGGACU